UGCCCUCCCUGCAAACUCCCUCUCCACAGACCUUCCCUGUUCAACACCUAGUCCUGGGAGCAGUGUAGGAACCAAGGAAAGCUUCAAGGAGGCCCUUCCUCAGGCUGAGGAGUUUGAGGCAUGGCCAGUAAGAGGCAAAAGGAACUCCCGUUUUUUGUGUCUAUUGUAUGACUGGCAAGGUUCUGAGGAGUCUACCUAUGUGGCUUCAUUAGGUUAAAAGCCAGGCAUUCACCCUAUUUUAUAUAAGUGGAACCUGAGGCUCAAAGAGACAAGACAGACCAAAGUCUCACAGCUGAUGGUCAGUCUUGGAGCAGGACUUGAGUACAGGGUUUCUGACCCAGGAACGCCCGCUUUUUCUGAAUUCCCCCCCACCCCCGCCCAGUACACGUUGUCAAGACACAGCCUCCAGCCUCAGUCUGGGGAGGGUUAGAAAGUUGGGUGAAUCCCUUCAGCUCUGGGCCUCUGCUGGUAGCAUGAGAAGCAGCUAGCAACCCUUUCUGAGUCCUGGGCUGGGCUUCAGUGGCAGCAGCAGUGGAGGAACUGCACUAUUUUAAGCCAGGGCCAGUAGGCCCCAUGUGGGCACAGGGAGGGUGGCCUCAGGCCCUUGGCCAACUUCCCGGAAGUUGCCAUGGCCUCCCUCCUCUCCCCUGAGCAGCUUUCUGAGGCAGUCACUUCCCUACAAACAGGAAGGAGGCUCUCAGGCCGAGAGACCUCCAGCCCCAGCUUCCUUCUCCUGCCCCACACCCCCUAGUCUUCACUAAUACAUGGGGGAGCCCACCAUUUCCAGGCCCUGACCAGUGUCCAUUAUCUGGGCUGUCUCCUGGCUGUCUCCACCCAGGUGGGUGGGAGGGGGUCUGGAUUUCUGCUGCUCAGGCCGCCCCAGUUCACCCAUUGCAAGUCUGGGCCUCCACCUGCCCAAGAUCUUUGUCCCCUUGCCCGCAGCCUGAUUUCUCCUACACAUUACCAUAGAGGCUGGUCACCGUGAGCCAGAAGAGCAGAGUAUCCCCAGAUUUGGUCCCACUCAAGGAUCUUAGAGAGAGAGAAGCUGGGACAUUCCCAGAGAAAGAUGGAGGCAAACACAGAUUGACUGUGACAGAAACAAAAGCAGAGAUGUUCACAGGCAAGAGCAGAGAGAAAUAAGACACAGCUGCAAAGGGCUGGGGCCAAGAGGGCAGUGGGGUGUCUCUGAGUGGUUGCUCCUGACCACCCCCAAGUACAGGCCCUGUCUCAGGGCUGUGUGGGGCCCACCGGCUGCAUGGUUGAAGAGGAAUGUGGGGAGCAAGGCUGGGUCACCCCUUGAGGGCCAAGCGUGUGCAGUGUGAGAUAAACUACCCCAGGAAGGGGGCCCCAGCUGCGGCUGCACGCUCCAGGAGCAUGGCGGAGAGGCCUGGGCCCAAGGUUGGAGCCCCCGCGCUGCCAGACACCCAGUUCCUGAGUCUCCUCCUAGGAGUUUCCACCGGGCCUCACAGUCUAGAAGGUCUCAGGACCCACAGCCCAGUCCUGAGGGCAUGCAGAUUCCCAUUCACAGAGCAAGGUGGGCCCUGGCAACCCUGCCAGCCACAGAGUCACUUCUCCAGCUCUGGCUGCAGUCCUGGCUCAGUUGCCUGCUUGUCCUACCCUGGAGCCACUGGAACCAACCACCCAGCCCUGCAGGAAGUCUCAGCCCAACCUCAACUUCCCCAGCUGUUGACCGGGAGCGUCAGCAGCCCUCUGUGGAUGGUGACAUUCAGAGAAGACGACGUGGAAUAAACUGCACACACGAGAGGUGUUCGGAGAAGAAAAAAAAAAUAGACCUAAAUGAAGAGAAACACCAACAAAGAAGGAGAGAGGCCUGCAGAGUCACGUG
Odocoileus virginianus texanus is the source of this 1846-nucleotide non-coding RNA. The record is from RefSeq and is a predicted model, not a curated record. Lineage: Eukaryota; Metazoa; Chordata; Mammalia; Artiodactyla; Cervidae.